Long non-coding RNA from Dipodomys ordii (Ord's kangaroo rat), 333 nucleotides. RefSeq lists it as uncharacterized. The record is from RefSeq and is a predicted model, not a curated record. NCBI's taxonomy places the organism in Eukaryota, Metazoa, Chordata, Mammalia, Rodentia, Heteromyidae. The transcript is spliced from 4 exons. The annotation marks the transcript as partial.
GAGCUAUAAAAAUUUAUGGACAAGAAACUAUCAUUGAAAUUAAAUGGUGGCAGACAUGUCCAAGGAAUAUUGCGGGGAUUUGAUCCAUUUAUGAAUCUGGUGAUAGAUGAAUGUGUGGAAAUGGCUACUAGUGGGCAACAGAACAAUAUUGGAAUGGUGGUUAUACGAGGAAAUAGUAUCAUCAUGUUAGAAGCCUUGGAACGAGUUUAAUAAUGACGGCUCAUCAGAGAAAUCUGCAUCUCUUCUCCAAAGGGACUUCUUUAUUGUAUAAAAUUUGGUCAUAUACCUUUUUAUAGUUAACUUUUUUUUCAAUAAACUUUUACAAUAAUCAAA